Molecule: ribosomal RNA, 253 nt
Filed under: uncultured bacterium
Lineage: Bacteria
Description: partial 16S ribosomal RNA
Rfam family: Bacterial small subunit ribosomal RNA
Source: RNAcentral
GACAGAGGCCUCGAGCGUUAGGCGGAAUCACUGGGCUUAAAGCGUGUGUAGGCGGACCCCUAAGUACCUUGUGAAAUCCCACGGCUCACCCGUGGAACCGCUGGGUAUACUGGGGGUCUCGGGCCACUCAGGGGCGACUGGAACAAGCGGUGGAGCGGUGAAAUGCGUAGAUAUCGCUUGGAACGCCAAAGGUGAAAACAGGUCGCUGGGAGUGCGCCGACGCUGAGACACGAAAGCCAGGGGAGCAAACGGG